AUUGAACGCUGGCGGCAUGCUUUACACAUGCAAGUCGGACGGCAGCGCGGGCUUCGGCCUGGCUGCGAGUGGCGAACGGGUGAGUAAUACAUCGGAACGUGCCCAGUUAUGGUGGAUAGCUCGGCGAAAGCCGGAUUAAUACCGCAUACGACCUGACGGUGAAAGCGGGGGAGUUUAGGGCCUUCCGCUCUUGGGGCGGUGGAUGGGCGGUUGGCUAGUUGGUGGGGUAAAGGCCUACCAAGGCGACGAUCUGUAGCUGGUCUGAGAGGACGACCAGCCACACUGGGACUGAGACACGGCCCAGACUCCUACGGGAGGCAGCAGUGGGGAAUGUUGGACAAUGGGCGCAAGCCUGAUCCAGCAAUGCCGCGUGUGUGAUGAAGGCCUUCGGGUUGUAAAGCACUUUUGGCGGGAACGAAAAGCGCCGUGCUAAUACCACGGUACGAUGACGGUACCUGCAGAAUAAGCACCGGCUAACUACGUG
This 484-nucleotide ribosomal RNA is filed under the name uncultured bacterium. RNAcentral's name for it is "partial 16S ribosomal RNA". It matches the Rfam family "Bacterial small subunit ribosomal RNA", at positions 28 to 507 of the family's 1533-position model. The record is from RNAcentral.